AUUGAACGCUGGCGGCAGGCCUAACACAUGCAAGUCGAGCGGAUGAAGGGAGCUUGCUCCUGGGUUCCGCGGCUGACGGGUGGGUGAUGCCUAGGAAUCUGCCUUGUCGUGUGGUUUAGCGUCCGCAUACGGGCGUUAAUACCACAUCCGUUCUGAGGAUGAAUGAGUGUGUUCUUCGGACCUCACGCUUUCAUUUGUGCCUAGGUCGGAUUAGCUAGUUGGUGGGGUAGAGGCCUACCUAGGCUACGAUCCGUAACUGGUCUGAGAGGAUGAUCAGUCACACUGGAACUGAGACACGGUCCAGACUCAGACGGGAGGCAGCAGUAGGGAAUAUUGGACAAGGGGAGAAAGCGUGAGCCAGCCAUGGCGAGGGUGUGAAGAAGGUCUUCGGAUUGGAAAGCACUUUAAGUUGGGAGGAAGGGCAGUAAGCUAAUACCUGGCUGGUUUGACGUAACCAACAGAAUAAGCACCGGCUAACUUCGUG
Molecule: ribosomal RNA, 484 nt
Filed under: uncultured bacterium
Lineage: Bacteria
Description: partial 16S ribosomal RNA
Rfam family: Bacterial small subunit ribosomal RNA
Source: RNAcentral